CCCCGCGCCAGGCCCUGUUUAUUCUGGCACAGAGCACAGGGAUGUCCGAGCCCUCUACGCUUGUUGAACUUCCUGGUUUUCUUAUCAUGCAGCUGGCCCCGCCAGGGAACAGGUGGAAGGCCGACUGGUGCCCAAGGGACCAAGAGAGGAUAUUGAGAAAUGCCACAAAUGCCUCUUGGGCCCCCCAAGGGAGAAGGAGCCAUGGGCAGGGCCGCUGAGGGGCUGGUGGGGGCAAGGCAGAAGGAGCCGGACAGAUUUUAUAGGUAAAGCCUUCCCUCUCCUUCACCUGGCCUGAGCCUCUGUUCCCUGCUCCGGAGUUCUCUGCUCUGUUCGGCCAGGUCUCCUCGAUUUCUUUGGACAGAUCUUGCCUUGGCCAACCUCCACACCUUUGCCUGGGCCGUGCCUCAGAACUUUCUUCCAAGUCUCCCCUGGAAAGCCUAGUUGGUGGGUAGAAUAAAAGAAUGACCGAAUCCUGAAUCGUUCCAAGGGUAGGAUGGGGCAGAGCUAGCUGGCCUGGCUAGAAGAGAGGUUUCCGGAGAGGAACCAUUGGCACAUCGAUCAGGGGUCCGGCUCUGGCAGUUCCAGCUGCCCACCCAGGAGGGUCAGAAGCUGGAGGGGCUUUCACACCAUUAGUCAUCCCGGGUGAGUGGCAAGCAGACACCCAUCGGGAGUGGGUCAUAGCGGGGAGCAGGUGAGCGUCACUGAAUUACUCAUGUCCCCUCACUGGACCCCGUGGGGAACCAAGGUGAGCCAGGACAGCGGCCUGAGCCUGGGGGACCUCUACCAGGAAGAUAUACUACAUUAGAAUAAAGUGAUUUGGCUCCACGUUGAAGGUCAAUUGCAGUCUUUAGAGAAGAUGGAGAUGAAACUGUAGAGUUCAACAACGAGAAACCUGGAGACAACCAUGGGGGCUCUCGUCCCCAUCCUUCACACACGUGGAUCUGAUGGUUUGUGCGGCUGCCUCGUCACGUUUACUGGGUCCAGAGUGCCCCUGGGGUUCCUGGAACUGUUUACCUGUUCUUGCCUUUGUAGGGAAGUGGUGUCACUUGGUUUUCUGGAUGCACAAAAGGAAGCUUCAAGAGAUUGGCAGAUCCAGGCUUACAUGUGGUGAGAAGAACGCAGAGAAGGAUUCAGACCAGAGUCCACGUUCUUGACGGCCAGGCCUGCCCAGGCUCCUGGACAGAGAACUCGAUCCCUCGUGAGUGAAAGAAAUCAGCCAGAUAACAGCAAGACAAGUUUUUCCCCGGUGGAAAACCAGGAGUUCCAGAAUAAUGAAGCCAAUGAAAAGAUGGGCUGAGUAUGAGCUGGCAUGUGUGACCAUGUGUGUCCAGCGGCUUGUGCCACUAAAGCUCGGGUAGGGGCCUCCUGGGUGCCAGCCCCAAACUGGGCACUGUGAGGACCAGACACGGUCUCUGCUUGCGAGAGACUGAGGGGUGGAAGGGCCUGGCCCCAGUCGGUGCCUGGACAAAGCUCUCCUUCUCAGCUUUCUGUCGAUGAGUUGAGUAACCCUGGACGUCCCCUGUGGGAAAUUGUUCUUCCAGCCCCAGCAGAACCUGGAGAGUCCUCCUUUGGGAGAAGUCGGACUUCUCUUAGAACGCCAUUUCUCUCCUUUCCAAAGGCAGAAAUGUCUCUCUUUCCCAUCCUGAAACUCUGUGCUUGACCCAUAGGAAGGCAUUGGCCUUCUGGCCUGUCUGAGCUGGGGCUCCCUCAUUCUGCACCCGGGGGCUGGGUGUUUCUCACCCACCUUCUGGGUGUCAGGCCAUGGGUGAACCUAGAAGAAAGGAGGGGUGAUGGUACGGAAGUCAGCUAUUCCUUCGUGACCCCAGAUGAGGCCAGGCUUCUAGGUGGGGCAUCGAGGCACCUGAAGG
Molecule: long non-coding RNA, 1868 nt
Organism: Mustela lutreola (European mink)
Lineage: Eukaryota; Metazoa; Chordata; Mammalia; Carnivora; Mustelidae
Exons: 3
Source: RefSeq, a predicted model, not a curated record